Molecule: long non-coding RNA, 858 nt
Organism: Leucoraja erinaceus (little skate)
Lineage: Eukaryota; Metazoa; Chordata; Chondrichthyes; Rajiformes; Rajidae
Exons: 3
Source: RefSeq, a predicted model, not a curated record
GUGUAGGCUGUGCAAUUGUGGCGGGCGGCCCUUCCACCCCACAGGCUGCCUACGCAUGCAGCUGGGAGCCUCUCCAGCUCCCAGCCAUCAAAAUUCAAAGCUCCUUUUCUGCCUUUCAGAUCUGAUUGACAAAUUCACUGUUACGAGGAGAAGAAAAACGCCAAAACAGGAACAAUGUUGAUCUUCACCCCUAUUAUUGGUGACUUUUCAGUUCCGUGCGGCGAGGCUGUGAAAAGAGACCGUGACACAGAGGGAAAGUUCCAGGGUCCAUUUCCACCAUAUUUCCAGGCAGUGCUUCCUACAUUGCAAGAUCUCACUGUGGGUAAAAAAAAGUCCUUCAUUGGCAUUCUCGGACCGUGUCCCACUUACCAGGGGUAAACAGCUUCUCAACAAAUACCCUCCUCACACAAGAAUGAAGAAGGGUGUAUUCACCAAUGUGAUCUGUGGAGCUAAUUACAUUCAGUAGGAGAAGCGCUGGAAAUGUGCGGAGGCCGAUGGUCGAUACAAGGAUACAGGAAUUCCACAACACAGGAACACAAGAACACAGAGAACAUGGACCAGAGGCCCUGCUCAUGUGCUGCAAGUCUGUAGCAAAUUCCUGUUCCAGGGAGAGCAACAUUGUACUUCUCAUCCCUUUCCCUGCUCCCAAUCCACUUGCCAUCAAUAAAUCUCCAGUCAGCAACUUGGAAUGGUUUGGGCAGUGUACAGUUAUCAAUGCUCGCUUCCUUGUAAAGAGCUCAUUGGGACGGUGGUAGAGUUGCUGCUUUACAGCACCAGAGACCCCGUUCAAAUCUGACUAUGGGUGCUGUCUGUACGGAGUGUUUACAUUCUACCUGAGACCACGUGGGUUUUCUCCAG